Molecule: ribosomal RNA, 253 nt
Filed under: uncultured bacterium
Lineage: Bacteria
Description: partial 16S ribosomal RNA
Rfam family: Bacterial small subunit ribosomal RNA
Source: RNAcentral
UACGUAGGGUGCGAGCGUUGUUCGGAAUUACUGGGCGUAAAGGGCUCGUAGGCGGCCAACUAAGUCAGACGUGAAAUCCCUCGGCUUAACCGGGGAACUGCGUCUGAUACUGGAUGGCUUGAGGUUGGGAGAGGGAUGCGGAAUUCCAGGUGUAGCGGUGAAAUGCGUAGAUAUCUGGAGGAACACCGGUGGCGAAGGCGGCAUCCUGGACCAAUUCUGACGCUGAGGAGCGAAAGCCAGGGGAGCAAACGGG